This is a non-coding RNA of Enterococcus sp., 73 nucleotides long. Lineage: Bacteria; Bacillati; Bacillota; Bacilli; Lactobacillales; Enterococcaceae. The record is from Rfam.
GCCGCCUUAGCUCAGUUGGUAGAGCGCAGCCAUGGUAAGGCUGAGGUCGACGGUUCAAGCCCGUCAGGUGGCU